Long non-coding RNA from Tyto alba (common barn owl), 9566 nucleotides. RefSeq lists it as uncharacterized. The record is from RefSeq and is a predicted model, not a curated record. The transcript has 3 exons. Lineage: Eukaryota; Metazoa; Chordata; Aves; Strigiformes; Tytonidae.
UUCCUUCAUUAGAUUAUCCCCGAAUUCGGAUCAUCACACCAUUUGUUGCUUCAAAUUGCCAAAAGAAAAAAAAGGGGAAAGGAAAUAAAUUUCUGAAACUAAAUGUUUUGCAAAGAAAAAGCAGAAAAAAAAGUAAUUCUUUGAGUUGUCAAAUGAUAAAUUGGCCAGUUGGACUUUUUAAAAGUGCUUCAGAUCAGUUCUUUAACAAUCGAGGUUUAGUUUAUGGUCAUGGAUACUUGUGUUGCAUCAUGUUGAGAUUAGUAUCAGACUCAGUGUAAUAUGUAUACUAAACUCCCACUCUCAUUUGUGUUUGUCACUGUCAAUAAUAAGCAUAGCUGUAAAGCAGGAAAUACUCAGUAAUAUGUUUAAUUUUAAAUCAGAGCCACUGCCAGAAAAAGUGACCAGGAUAAUACAAUUUGUCCUGCAAAUGUUAUUCUUUUCUAUUCUGAGUUAAAUGAAAUUUGUGGACCUAGUGAUAAUAUGUGGCCUUACUCCAUUGAAAAGGAUUCAGGUAUUUUGUUUAACAAUAGAGGGCGUUGUGUUUAUUUCCAUAGAUUGAUGUAGAGACGCAGUGUCACAAAGUAAGCUAACUCUUGUUAUGUUCUGGCAUCUUUGGCCCGAUUUGCCUUGAGCACACAGUUAUUAGUAGAUGAUGAGGUAACUCUGUUAGUAAACAAAUGAGCAGAAAGGAAGUUAAUGCUAAGAUGAGCUGAAGAAGGCAGCUAGAGGGCAAAAAAGGCACUUUUUUCCCACUUCUUGUUAGGCCGGUUAAAACUGAAAUCCUAAGAUUUACAUGGUAUAAUAUCAGAUAUGCUCAGUGCAUAGGGAAAAAGCAUGGUCAUAGCACAGUAAGACAGCAGAUGUUAUGACAGACAGCCUUCAGCUGAGGUUGUCAGAAAUUUAUGUGGCAUCAAAGCAUUCCCAUCUCGCCAGAUGUCCUACUCCAUAAGCCAGAUAGGCACCUACAAGCUGGCUCCCUGGCUGGCUUUUUCUCUGAGGCCCUGAGCAAAAAAGAAAGCUGAUUAGCUUGAGAUCCAAGCAGACUGCAGUACUAAGCACCACUGAUAAAUUAAACUCAUUUACAUUCUGCUCAUAAAGAUUCUUCUGUGAACAGAAAAAUUUUCAGAUGUGUUGUCUACUCCAGACGUAUUACAUACUCUCCCUCUGCCUCAGUUUAGGUUUUCUACUGAAAAGAGGUAUGUAGCUGGAAAAAGCUAGAUCUAGACUUUGAACUACAGUGCCUAAUGCUGCUUUCUCAAGUAAUAAAGACUGGGCACACCAAAUUUGGAAUGGAAACACACAGGGAGUUUCCACCUCUUAGAAAAUUUACCCAGCAACAGCCCACUUACUAGGCUAGCACAAGGGAGCAGAGAGUAUGACUGAUAUAGAGUGGCAUACACGUGUCCAUCAUUUGUAGAAACUUAAGUUACGUGUCUGAUGUGACAUUGUCAUGUACUGUAAUUUUCAAUCUUUCUUCCCCAUCAUGUUUUGACUUGAAAAGGCAGAAAACUGUUGACUUCAUCUUUUAUAUUGGGCAGAUGUUCUUUCUUUUUCCUUCCUGUGUUUCUCAAAAUCAUUUAAAUUAGAUUUUAGCAAUUUUAACAGAUAUGAGAGAUGCCAUAUUGAAAAACCUGGCAACAAAGUCCUGCAUUAGUUUCAUUUAUGCAGAUGAUGACACAACGGUUUUGUGUGCAGGCUGCAACCCACAGACCUGGGUCAUAUUCUGAACAGGACAAGGGCAGAUUCUAUGCAUAUGAAACUAAUUCAGGGUCUUUUGUUUAUUUCCUUCUGGGCUCUCUUCUAAGCUGCUAAUGGUGGCACCAUUUGUAUUACCCUGAUACCACAUGCAUGUCUUGGUAGGGCAUCUAUUGUACUCUGUCUAGCGAUCAUGCCAGUCACUAAUGACCUAAGAUAGCCUAAUGCACUAGCGAAUACCUUUAAAAGUAUGUGUUGAUUAGAUUGAUUAGAUAAUAUCCCCAAAGGUAGCCACAAAUAAAAUCACAAAUAUGUAAAAAUUUCUGUAGCCCCACAUGUACUUCUGCAUGUAUAUGUACUUUUGUAUUCUUACAGUUCCUAGUGGAUGUGGUGAUUCUUCUAGUGGACACGGUAGUGGGUUAAUUGCAUAGAGAUUCAUUUUAGUUCCAGUAAGUGAUAAUCUAUCUCUCUAAGUAUGAUAAGUAAACAGCUUUGCAAGAUUUUUAUCUACAUUUUUUUAAAAUCAUCUCUUAGUUUUUACAACCUAGGAAUUAAAAAUCUUUACUGUUUUAAUGUCAGUUUAAAAAGGGCUAGGAAAGCUGCAAAUAGUGUGUGCAGUAAAUCUGUGCCAUGGCAGAAACAAUCAGAAGAGAAGAGAGUAAAGAGUAAUGAUUAAACAUUUAAUCAGAAGCAUUAUACUUUGUUGUGUUCUCAUUGUAGCUGCAGGAAAAGAUGCUGUAACAGAUCUUUAAAUAGAAAACCUGAGGCUAAAUUCUACUUCAUCCAUCAAAAGCAGCUGCUAGGAGAUGACCUAAUUUUAGUGGCUUAUCAAUUCCUUAGUGCUUGUUGGUUGAUGUAACUUUGAUCCUCUGAUGCUAGAUGACUUUUGUGCUGAAUAUAGCUAGAAUUUAAUGUGAAUCUUUUGGAUGGCUGCCCAGCCAAGCUGCAUAAUCCAAACAAAGAGAGCGAGCAGUACAUGAUUCAAGCUACUCACGUGUACAAUAAUACAAAUAUAUGUACCCUGAUUCCUUUGGGCAAUCAGAUCCAUGUCACCAAGCACAUAUUUCAAAUACAAUGUCCUUGUGGUUUUUUUGGCUUUUUUUUUGUUUUGUUUUUAGUUUUUUGUUGUUGUUGUUGUUGUUUUGUUGGGUUUUUUUCUUUUUUUUUUUUUUCCAAACAAUGCUUUGCUUUUCAUUGGAAAAACAACAUAAGAUGCAGUGAGACUCAGCUGCUGCCAAGAAAUAAUGAUAGAGUCAAUAAUUGCAGGACGUUUUUAAUGAAUGUUUUCCAAGCAAAUCAUUGCCAUUUCAAAGGGCUGUUAUUUCUAUUUAUGUAGAGAUUAGCCUACAUGUUAUCAAGGAGAGAGAAUGGUUCUAUGGUUUUUUUAUCAUUGUUUUUUGUAGCAUUUUUAAGGGAUUUAUUUAUUUAUUUAAAUACUAGAAUAUGUCUUUGUUUCUCUUCCUAUCUUACUCUUUAUCUGGACUGUUACUUGUUUUCCCUUUCCUUUUUCUCUUUCUCUUUUUGGCUCUCCACUAAAACCAUCUGUGACACACAUGCAAGUUGCUGGGUGUGUGAGCAAUGCUUCACACAUAUUUACUUACCCUACUUGGCAUUAUUUGCUAGUCAUUAAAGAUUAUGCAGGAGUUUUUCCUGUCCCAUUUUUUUUUUAUUCUCUUAGCAAGCUAAGGUAGGAAUAAGAGAGGGGUCAGGCUGUUGUACAGAGUUGGGUUUUUUUGGUGGUGUUUUGUUUUUCUUUUUGUUUGUUUGUUGGGUUUUUGGGUUUUUUUUUUGUAUUUUUUUUUUCUGGGAAAGGCUGUGUCUAGAGUUUAGACUGGAAGGAUUAGACUGGAAGGAUUUCUGGAUUUUUUUCCUGGCACAAGCAAUUAUGCAUUGUGUGAGCUUGGGCCAGUCACUUAGGGCCUGUUUUUCACACUCCAGUUGAAAUAAAUGGGAACUGCAUGUGCUCAGCACCUCUGCAAACCAGGUCAUUUAUCUCUCCUCCUUUCAUUUAUGCAUUGAUAAAUAUAACAAUCUUUGCCUUUGCAUAUGCAAACUGGGUAGAAGGAUACAAAUAUGGGCAGUUAAACAUGCAAAUCCCUCAUUUUGAUGCACAACCAUCCAUUUUGUACAACCAGGGAUUUCUACAUUUGUGACCCUUGGGUUCUUUCUGGAAAAAUGGGCCAUAAAUAACAAAAUCUAUACAGACUUGUCAGGGAGGCACAGCUGAAAUCAAUAUGUUUGUGUAGCUUCUUUUCUAUAGUUUCACUUCAGUUAAAAAUACUAUUAGCUGUAAUAAUCAUUUUAGCCCACUUUAUUACUGGAUUAAACCAUCUUGUCAAUGUGCAGACGGCUUGGGCUUUACGUGGUAACUGUAUGUUAUUACAAGACCCAGAAUUAGCUGUUUGACACAUUUUUGGAGUUUUAGGUGGGCUUUAUUAUCAUUUCACGGUACCUGUAUUUUUUCAGUGACAAGUGUCCGAAGUGGCUAGCCUGCAACUCAAGAUUGCCUCAGUAUAGGCAUUUCACUGUGCCCUAUGGACAUAUAGAAAGAGCCAGAUCUGGUUGAGCUGCAAAGCAGCAACACCAACUGGCCCAGUUGCCUGGUUUACAGAGGAAGCCAGCUGAGUUUGAGAAAAUUAAAGAAAUAAGACUUGUGGUAUUGAAGAAUGCCCAGUGUCUUUUUUGGAAGGAAGACCCAGGCUGUGCUACAUUGCCAUUAAUGGAAAUGAGAGUUAAGAGUCUAAUCCUUCUGCAGCAGGGGAGAUUAGAGCAUAUUGUGAAUAUGAUUUCAGUAUAAAUACUAAGUUCCCCAAGGGUAUCUCAUCAACAGCAACUUCAAAAGUUACUUUUAUGCCACUUCCACUCAGCUGACAAGAACACUUGACAUUUUGAGAAGGUUUAGAAUAGAAAACGUUAGCAGUUCAUGUUGAUCAUGUAACUCAUUGGCAAAAACACUACUGUUUAAAUAUCAUGUUCAGUCAUCACUGGAUUGCAAUCUAAUGAGCGUAAAAGAUGAGUACUUCUCAAAAGUGACUUGUUUUGUAACUUUUACGGUUACAAACUUGCAAAAUGAAAAACAUGGACAUUUACUUCCCUCCAAAUAUAAUUUUCAAGGACAGUGUUCUUUCAUGCCUUGGAAAGGCACUCCAAACAGCUGUAAAUAAAUAGUCAUGAUUCUGUUACUUUCUGCUCAGUGAAUUCUCAAUAGGAAAUUUUCAUUGUUAUGAACAUGAUGAGUAAUCUUGCUAAUGUCAUAGUUACUAACUACGUGCUAGCUUGUCUUUAAACACCUCCAGCUUUACGGAUGUAUGCAGCCAUUAUCAAGGAGCAGCGUUCCAGGUAAUCCUCCAGUAAAAGGAAAUGUAAUGUCCUCUUUCCUCCAUCUGAUAUAAUCACUGCUUGACUUUUCCUUAAUUGAGCCAACCAGCUCUUAUAAUUCACUUUGGCAUGGAUCAAGGAGUGGGAUUGCUGAUGUCUCUUACUUGCUUGUUUAUUUAACUUCCCACUACCUAAUCAGUUGAAUAAAAGUGACCUUCCCCUAAAUAUAUGAGUGGCUAUACUAUGUUAUACUAAUGACUGCAACAUGCAGAAAACCAAAACAAGCAUUUUGCCAGGAUCAACAAAAAUGAUGAAAACACAGUUUGCAGCAAUGUAUGAAUUAUUGCUGCCAGCUUGCAGUUCCCAAGUUAACUCUUGAUGAAGUUAUAAAUUGUGACAAUUAAUACUGUUUCUAUCUUGAGUCACACUGUGGGCCAAUUUCUGCUGUCAUAAAUUGGGAAUAAAAUCAUUACAAUUAGAUGGUUCUAUUUCUGUCCAACUAAAAUCAGAAUUUUCCUUCCAAAAAUCAAAUAAUGAUGGUGUGAGAUAGAAAAAGGGAUACAUGGUGAUUUCUGUUGCAUGGUUUCAACCAGAUCAGGUACAGAGGUGGAAGGUAACUCAGUGACUCAGUCUGGGAGUUAACUUACGCCAAGAUGUGAGGUUCAGAGCUUUGUUUGAGAACAAGGAAGUAAAAGAAAUCUAAUUUCAAGCUCCAUUGGAAAUUGAAGGAAAGCAAACAAUAUCUGAGAGAAAGCAAGGAAGGGAUAGGAUAAAAAUUCAUGAGAUAUAUAAGAGGUGGGGGGAGGAUGGAAUUGUUUAUCUGAAUCCUCCCUAAAUGUCUUCAGAGACUUCGUUCCAGACCAUCCUAGUUUUAGCUUUUUAAAAACAAAUCCUCCCUCUUAUUUUAAAUAGGGGUAUGCUAGAAUUAGAAGCACUUAUCCAAACCACCCAGGCUUUAACUUUCAGGGUUCAGAAAAAAUGGGACCUGGAACUGAAACAGCUUUGGUUUGGCUUUUGCAAAACUGAAACCACUUUUUUUUUUUUUUUUUUUUCUUCCUCCUCCAUAGCUAGACUAAAGCUUCAUUCAGAGCACUAGCAGUGAAUGUGUGAAAACAGCACAUGCUAAAAAGAACAAAUGCAAUUCAGCUACCUCAGUUCUAUGCAGUGCUGACUUACAGGACACUGGAAAGAUAGUAGAAAUGUCCCACCCAGGAAUAGCUAUGGAUGGAAGCAGGAUCAUUUUGGGAUCAUGGAGCUGUAUUGAUGUAACAGCAAGGCUGUCUCCACAGAUUUCCACUGACGUUACAUCCCAAAUCUAUCUGUGCUAGAUAGCUUGCAUUUUGGCUCAGAAUAGCUGAAAGUCUGAAACCUUUUCAAGUAUAGUAUGUGUACCCUGUUUCACUUCAUUGCUUUGCUUCAUUACUGUGGUAAUCUCCUUCACUGUGCGUGUUUACAGAAAGCUUGUUCUCCAGGUUAGAAAACAAGAAUUGCUUUCAUUGUUGGGUUUCUUCCAAGCUCUAUCAUUAAUUAUAAACAUAGUUUCUUCAAAUCUUUUUUCACAACCUUUUGUUUGGAAACUUCACUAUUUAAAGACCUGGGUAAUAUCACCGUUUCCCAAAGGCUGUAUUGUCCAAGGGGAAGAAUAUUCAGGAUGAAAUGCUUAUCUUCUUUUUCCCCUUGUGCAACAAUGCCUCGUUACUGUUGUUAUUUGCAAGAGGGAGGAUUUUUCUAUUAUCAGGACAUCUCCUGUACUGAAUUUUCAACAUUUAAUAGCCAUUAAAUACAUUUUAAACAUGUUUUGCUACAGAUGACUUUGGAUUACCUCCCCUUCAACCUUUAAAAUCUUGGGAGCUUUUUAAACAGUAAUUUGCCAGGAUGUUUUUUAAAGUUUCCAGAGCAGAGCAAGCUUAGCAAUUCUAAUCAUAAUGUAAGCAUUUUAAAAUGAGAAUAUUCCUUCUGAAAAUAUGUCCACUAGCAAACAAAUUAUGUGGAAAAAAAAAAUAAAAUAUCUCAGAAAAAAUCCAGGCAAUCUUUGUGCAUUUGUCAUGAGAUAAAUCUCCAUUUUAUGAGCAUUCCAUUGAUCCAGUUAUUUUCAACUUCUUUGCUGUAAUUUCUUGUUGCAAACUAUUUUGUCUUUUCCGGGUGGAAUAUGGAGGGGUUGUUACACGUACCUGUGGAGUGCCUUACUCAGAGUUCUUAUUGGAGAGAAUAGAAUUCACAUGUACUUCUAAUACUUUCCUGCACAGGGUCAGCUGGAUGCUCUGGGACAUGUUUUGAGAUAAAAGUGUAGCAUAAAAUUGUAAAACCUAACAAGGACUUCCUCACCAUGGAAAAAUUCUGUACAAAACAAUGAUGUGUACAGAGCAGUGAUUCAUUGUUAGUGUAAUUUCUUGUAAUAGCCAAAUUUUAGGGCACUGCAUAGAAGACAAACCUAUUCUGCUGACUCACCUUCAUCUUGCUCCAUCUUCAUGUAUUACAAUAUCUGCAGUCAGUAUCAGCCUUGGGUUGAUGCUGCUGCUAACAUAUCUGUCCUAAUUACCUGCUAUGGAAGGGGCUUAGGGCCAACUUAAGUGUGAUGUAAAAACAGAUGAAAUUCCCACAUGCUCUUUAACACUCUUUUUACUACACAGGAAAGCCUGGGGUUUGGUUUGGGUUGGUUGUUUUGGGGUUUUGGUUUUGGUUUUUUGUUGUUGUUGUUGUUAUAGUUUGAGUUAACAUCACAGAUAGACUCAUGGGUGCGUAUAUAUCCAAUACAUAUAUUGUUGUUGCCAGAAAAUUGCAUGCUGCUUUUCCCCAGCCUGUUUUGAACUGCAAAAGCUGCCAGAAGCUUACCCACCAUUUUCACAUAAGCAGUAUAUGAUCUGAGAGGUGGGAGUUUUGGGGUGGCACAUCCAUCCACUGGCAUCUUUGAAGGAGAACUAGAGCUUUUUGAUUUAACCUGGAGGGGGAGGCUGUUCAAACUCACUGGGGAGGGAGUUACUGCUACCAUUAACAAACAUGAGUCCUGUUCUUUGUGGAUACAGCUACACACAUUUUCUGGAGCCUGAUGGGUGGGUCCGUCAGUUCUUUGGUGGUGAAAGCAAGGAUAAUAGACGAACUGAUGUGCCGAUACUUGGAAAAUGCUGUAUGAGACUAUAAAGGGACAGUAGUGGUGGGAGCCAGACAGUAAGUGUAGGAUUAUCUGGUGGAUUACCUUCUUGAGAAACCAGGGUCACCCAGUAGAACUGAAGAACAGUUACUCCAAUCUACAACAGAAUUGGCAUAGAGAAGAAUUGAGGGACUUUUGGUAUUCCAAACAGAAGCAAAUUAAAGGACCUCAGACUUCUUUGCUCUUUCUGCCUAUCCUCUUUUUCUGCUGUAAGUGUAGGGGAAUGAUGUCCUCCUGGUUCACAAUGAAAUUUCCUGUCAAGUGAAGCAUCUAAAUCUACAGUGAUCUCAGGGGACAGAAUAUCUUGUGGGAGGUCAGUGUCAGCCUAAGUGCAAAGAGUGGAGGAAUUGGGCUUGGGGACAGGUGGUUGAUACUUCUGCUGUUGGUGAUGGCUUUUGGAGACUGGAAAACCUUCAGGCCUGGCCAUUCCCAUGGAAUGGAGCAGAUCAGCCUGCAGGAGUGGUGCGCACCAUCCCGUACUGUCGCCCAUUGCCUGCAGAGAAGCUGGGAGUAUUGUCUUGGCACAACAGCACGGACCUGGUUUGUUCCUAGAAAGGAGAAGGCCUCAUUCAGGCAGGAUACAAGAGUUUUUGGAAAGCCACCAUAGAAUUCUGGGGGCUGAGACAAUGUGUACCAGAGGGCAGAGGGAGGAGAGAGGAAAUGCAAGAUGCUGUUGAAUGUUGGCCCAAGAGUGGAAGAGUAUGUCACAAUGUUAAAUGUUGUUUGUCUCUGUGUGUAAUGUUCUUUGUUGUGAUUGAUAAUUUAGAGAAUUACAAACUGAACUUAUAAAUAAACAAAUUGGAGCAUUGCUCUGGGCAUGCGGAGAGCACAAUAUAUGUGUGUGAUGUCAUGCAGUAAUUAGUACAAUGUUGUCUUCAUGAUUUCUGGGCCACAGGCUUUGCAUGGAGGACUUAAACAUCUACUAGCAGUAAAAUCCAUUAGGAAAGGCAACUGUUUCCUCAUACUGCCUUCCUUCAAAGCCAGCACAUUGAAAAUAGGCUGUUUCCUUCUCCAGAAAUUCCUUUUGAGAUGGCAGAAACUCCCCCCCCCACCACAGCCUUAGCACAGGAACAUGUUGAUUUAAUGCUUUCUUUUCACUAAUGAUUGUGUAGUUUGGACUUCGUUGAUGUACUUCUGCCACUCUCUUAAUGGAGAUCCCAAUUUGAUCUUGAAUUUAGGGAAUGGAAAAUCCAGAUAAACAUCCGGUCUGCCAUGAAUGCAAAGGACAAAGCCUUUGUAGUAAAAUGUCUCUGACAUACGCCCAUGAGAAUUGUUUGAUGUGUUGUAAAAGGCAUCUGUCUAAAAUAAAAAAAUGUUUUUCCUCUUUGGCUUUGUUGAGCAGACUGUGGAAAUAAAUGGCACAAAGUAACCCUUCUUUUCCUCUCCUACUGCCCUCUUUUUUGUU